ACCUACGGGAGGCAGCAGUGAGGAAUAUUGCGCAAUGGACGAAAGUCUGACGCAGCGACGCCGCGUGGGCGAUGAAGGCCUUCGGGUCGUAAAGCCCUUUUGGCAGGGACGAGUGAGGACGGUACCUGUCGAAUAAGUCUCGGCUAACUACGUGCCAGCAGCCGCGGUAAAACGUAGGAGGCGAGCGUUAUCCGGAUUCACUGGGCGUAAAGCGUGCGUAGGCGGUUGGGUAAGUCGGACGUUAAAGCCCCUGGCUCAACUAGGGGAGGUCGUUCGAUACUGCUUGGCUUGAGGAUGAGAGAGGAAAGCGGAAUUCCCGGUGUAGCGGUGGAAUGCGUAGAGAUCGGGAGGAACACCAGUGGCGAAAGCGGCUUUCUGGCUCAUUUCUGACGCUGAGUGCACGAAAGCGUGGGGAGCAAACGGGAUUAGAUACCCCGGUAGC
RNAcentral lists this ribosomal RNA (442 nucleotides) under uncultured bacterium. Its description in RNAcentral is "bacterial SSU rRNA". It matches the Rfam family "Bacterial small subunit ribosomal RNA", at positions 337 to 794 of the family's 1533-position model. The record is from RNAcentral.